Molecule: small nuclear RNA, 111 nt
Filed under: Blastobotrys adeninivorans
Lineage: Eukaryota; Fungi; Ascomycota; Dipodascomycetes; Dipodascales; Trichomonascaceae
Source: RNAcentral
UUCCGAAUACUGCGUCCUUCGGGACAUUUGGUCAAUUUGAAACGAUACAGAGAAGAUUAGCAUGGCCCCUGCAUAAGGAUGACACGCUUUACAAAGAGAUUUACAAGUUUU